UACGGAGGAUGCGAGCGUUAUCCGGAUUUACUGGUGUAAAGGGAGCGCAGACGGCAGUGCAAGUCUGGAGUGAAAGCCCGGGGCCCAACCCCGGGACUGCUCUGGAAACUGUACGGCUAGAGUACGGGAGGGGCAGGCGGAAUUCCUAGUGUAGCGGUGAAAUGCGUAGAUAUUAGGAGGAACACCGGCGGCGAAGGCGGCCUGCUGGACCGAAACUGACGUUGAGGCUCGAAAGCGUGGGGAGCAAACAGG
Molecule: ribosomal RNA, 252 nt
Filed under: uncultured bacterium
Lineage: Bacteria
Description: partial 16S ribosomal RNA
Rfam family: Bacterial small subunit ribosomal RNA
Source: RNAcentral